UACGGAGGGUGCAAGCGUUAAUCGGAAUUACUGGGCGUAAAGCGCGCGUAGGCGGUUUAAUAAGCGGAGUGUGAAAUCCCCGGGCUCAACCUGGGAACUGCAUUCCGAACUGUUAAGCUAGAGUAUGUGAGAGGAUGGCAGAAUUCCGAGUGUAGCGGUGAAAUGCGUAGAUAUUCGGAGGAACACCAGUGGCGAAGGCGGCCACCUGGAUCAAUACUGACGCUGAGGCGCGAAAGCGUGGGUAGCAAACAGG
RNAcentral lists this ribosomal RNA (253 nucleotides) under uncultured bacterium. RNAcentral's name for it is "partial 16S ribosomal RNA". It matches the Rfam family "Bacterial small subunit ribosomal RNA", at positions 524 to 776 of the family's 1533-position model. The record is from RNAcentral.